AUGGAGAAUCCGGUGGAGGAGCCGAUGUCCAGGCUCACCCGCGACCUAAUCGCGGAGAUCCUCUCUCGCGUGCCCUAUAAAUCGCUCUGCAUCUGCAAGUGCGUCUGCCCGGCCUGGCGCGACCUCAUCGCCGACCCCGUCUACAGGAAGAAGAUUGUGCACUCCCUGACCGGCUUCUUCUACCGCAUCACCGAAGAAGCCGCGGCCUUCCCCGGCGUCAACUACGCCGACCUGUCCGCCUUCCCGUGGGCGAGCGUCCCCAAGACCCACCCGCGGCUGCCGCUGCCGCCCGACAGCACGGACCGCGUCAUGUCCGUCGAUGAUUCCUGCGAUGGACUGUUUCUUGCCCGCAUUUCUAUUGGGGCUGGCAAUUUUCGCUACAUGGUCUCCAAUCCAGCUACCGGUGAGUACACUCUGCUGCCCCACAAUGGCCACGCCGGCAACGACAGCAUUGCUUACCUGGGUUUCGACAGCGAUGCAUCCACUGAGGGGUUUCAUGUGUUCGAGUUUGCAGAGGACUGGUCACCCCCGGACCACCGGGGCAUACAAUUCCAGGUUGUGACACAAGUGAGGAUUUACUCUUCAAAAACUGAUGUGUUCGGGUUGGCAAUAGUUGAUGCACAAGGGCUAAAAUGGAGGAUCGUCCCGCUGCCAGCUAACAGUUUCUCGGGUUUCAUUGGGAAGUCUCAUGGGCACCUAUUUUAUGUCGACUCGGACACAUCUUUGACUACUAUAUCCGUUUACACUCUUAGUGGUGAGAUUUAUAACUGGGGUGUGUGUCAUCAGGAUGACGACUGCAUCUACUGGAAAUUGUACAAGUGUUCAAAUGUAAUUCCAAAUAAGGAGUCUCUCGAAGUCAUUGGAGUACACCCACAUGCCAAUCUCAUCUUCAUAGCUCAUUCGAACAAUCAAGUGUUGGCAUACGAUUUGGAUCGUCAAGAAAGCACAGUUGUAACUUCCAUUCAACAUCUUUCCUGGAGAGAUUGCAGAGAGGAUCCUCAUUAUUCCAGUAAAUUCUGA
RNAcentral lists this ribosomal RNA (1020 nucleotides) under Triticum aestivum (bread wheat). Its description in RNAcentral is "partial small subunit ribosomal RNA". The record is from RNAcentral. Lineage: Eukaryota; Viridiplantae; Streptophyta; Magnoliopsida; Poales; Poaceae.